Sorghum bicolor (sorghum) is the source of this 624-nucleotide long non-coding RNA. RefSeq lists it as uncharacterized. The record is from RefSeq and is a predicted model, not a curated record. The transcript is spliced from 3 exons. Lineage: Eukaryota; Viridiplantae; Streptophyta; Magnoliopsida; Poales; Poaceae.
CUUGUCCAAAUCGACUUCUAAAUCUGAUACGGAGGGAGUACUUUAAUACAAGUAUAAAUUUUUAUUUGUGUCAUAAUGUGUGUUUACUACUUUUGUUGUCACCUAAUGUGUAUUGUUUAUUUUAACCUCUACUUAGUUCAGAAAUUAGUAGUAGCAUAAAAGGUGUAAGUUUAUUUUUUUUAAAAUGACUUAACUAAACACUAAUUUCAUAUCUUAUUCAACACAAAUUUAGUUUUUUUAUGGCAAACCUGGGAAGAAAAGAAAUGCUAAAAUCACAGAAUGCUCUAAUGGGUGUCAUUGGACCACAUUGAGUUUUUACUGUAAUGAGCUUCAAGAUGAUAUGACAGCCCUUAUGAGAAAAAGGGUGGUAGAUCUGGCUGCACUUUACAAAAGAAGAAACAACCAGAAACUAAAGGUUCAUCUAGAUGGCCAUUUGCUCACUAAUAAUUUUUCAAGUUAUGUGGAUUUGUACCUGCCAUCUCCUUCCAAGAAGACAUCAAAAAGUGUAUAACAAAAGUUAGCCUUUGCUUGGGAGGUGUGUAUUACUUUAAGCAGAAAUGGCCAAUACCAACAGUUCAACUUUGUUAAUGGUGUUGUAAUAGAGGGAGGAUUUCAAUUUGAUAC